AACUUUUAAUAAUAGAUCUCUUAGUUCUAGUAUUAAUAAAGAAUGUAGCGAAAUGCGAUAAGUAAUGUAAAUUAUAGAAUUUAGUGAAUUAUUGAAUUUUUGAAUAUAUAUUAUAUUUAUUAGUAUUUUGGCGAGUAUGUUUGUUCGAACGUUA
Molecule: ribosomal RNA, 154 nt
Organism: Neurospora crassa OR74A
Lineage: Eukaryota; Fungi; Ascomycota; Sordariomycetes; Sordariales; Sordariaceae
Rfam family: 5.8S ribosomal RNA
About the family: 5.8S ribosomal RNA (5.8S rRNA) is a component of the large subunit of the eukaryotic ribosome. It is transcribed by RNA polymerase I as part of the 45S precursor that also contains 18S and 28S rRNA.
Source: Rfam